Molecule: RNA transcript, 4347 nt
Organism: Passer domesticus (house sparrow)
Lineage: Eukaryota; Metazoa; Chordata; Aves; Passeriformes; Passeridae
Gene name: carnosine N-methyltransferase 2-like
Exons: 9
Source: RefSeq, a predicted model, not a curated record
CGGGGCCAGCCGGACAUGCUGACCUGGCCCGGCUGAGCCCAGCCAGCCCCGCUGCCGGGAAUUGCAGCGUGUCCCGGGCUGGAAGGGACCCGGGAAGAGCAUCAGCAUCCACAGCCCGACACAGCAUCCCCCCGGCAUGGAGCCCGCGGCCGAGGUGAAGAGGAAUAGUUUCCCCAGCAUGAACUUUGAAGCUGAGAUUCUGACAACACCACACGAUAAUUCAGAGCUCUACAUGAUCCCUUCCAUGAGGAGCCUCACAGCUGAGGAGUAUGUGGAGGCCUUCAAGUCAUUCUUGGAGCACUCAACGGAGCACCAGUGCAUGGAUGAGUUCAACAAGGAACAAAUGCCCACCAUCGUGGCUGGUCUGGGUGCUGGAAAAUCGACCCUCAGCGUUCUGGGAGUUGGGAGUGGCACAGGUGAGCAGGACUUGAAAAUGAUCAGGAUACUACAGGCUGUGCACCCAGGGGUCUUUAUUGACAAUGAGAUUGUGGAGCCCAACCCACAGCACGUGGCAGCUUACAAAGAGCUGGUGAGUCAAGCUCCAGACCUGCAGAAUGUUUCUUUUAUUUGGCACCAGCUCACUUCCUUGGAGUAUGAACAGCAGGUGAAGGAGAGAGGCACACAUAAGAAAUUUGACUUCAUCCAUAUGAUCCAGAUGCUGUAUCGUGUGGAGGAUAUUCCCAGUACUAUCAAGUUUUUCCACAGCUGCCUCGACCAUCAUGGCAAACUCCUGAUCAUAAUUUUGUCAGACAGCAGCGGCUGGGCCAGCCUGUGGAGGAAGCACAGGGACUGCCUGCCCGCCACCGACAGCGGCCACUACAUCACCUGCAGCGGCAUCACCGAGGUGCUGCAGGGGCUGGGGGUGCAGCACCGCGUCUACGAGCUGCCCUCGGGCUGGGACAUCACCGAGUGCUUCGCCGAGGGGGACGCGGAGGGCGGCCGCAUGAUGGAUUUCCUGACGGGCACCAAGAACUUCCUGGGCACGGCCCCGGCGGCGCUGCGGCGGCGGCUGCGGGAGGCGCUGCGCCAGCCCGAGUGCAGCAGCACCCGGGACGGCAGGGUCAUCUUCAGCAACAACCUCAGCAUGAUCGUCGUGGACUCCUAGAGCCACGGCUUGUGGCUUGUUGUGAGCAGCGUGCAUCCCGGCUGUGCUUUCGCUGGGACUGGCACUGCUCUGUGGGGUGGCGGCAGGUUUGCUCGCCCACAGAGGAGCCCGCGCGGCCUUGGCGGCCGUGAGGGAGGCGGCCAGGUACAGACCUCUGCUCCACUGUGAUGCCUUCUGCCCCAGCCGGGCCGCCACACACUGAUUCCUCGUGAAGGCUGGCCUAGAACAGAGCUAAAGAAUGAAGUAGGGAUUUAUUAGGAGGCCUCAAUGGAUCCACCUUGGGCAGCGCAAGAGCCCAGCCAGGGCUGCACCCAAGAUGAACCAAAACGGUCACAAAAUGCACGAGCGCUCACGGGGUCUCUCACUUUUAUAAGUUCUGCUCCAUUUGCAGAUUGGAGUGAAUUGCCAAUCACAGCUUUAGCCCAUGAAGUCCCAUCCUUCUUGUUUUUCUCUCUUCAGCCGAUGUUUGAUCUCUUGGGCCUGAGAUUUGGAUCAUUUGUCCUUGGUCCCCAGCUAGAAAAAGAAUUGUUUUGUCUGCCUCUCUCUGUGAAGAGAGCUCACCAUCCCCUAAUAUGAAGCUCAAAAGUUCACACUAAAGCAACACAGAAUCUGAAAACUAUAAAAGCUAAAACCUGAGGCAUCACCAGGAUAAAACCACCAAGAUGUCCCAUCUGCUUUGCACCCAGAAUUUCAGACUGUGCUUCCCCAGCAACAGGAGUGUGGCCACGAGAGGGCUGCAGCAGCCAGCAGAAUAAAUCCACCUCAAUGCACCUCCCAAAGCUCUGGAAAUGCUGAGCUGAAGCAGCAGAACCAGACAUUCAGGCAGACAAAUGCAUUCAGCUUCCUCUGCUGGCUCAUCACACCCUGAUCCCAGCAGUUGGGACCACACUUUUUCCUACUGAACUCAUGGGCUCUGACUCUGGGCUCUGGUUUGUAAAAAACUCACGAUGGCACAGCACAGCUGCCACAAGGGAUGCACAAAAUCUGCUUUUGGGUUGGUUUUUUUCUCCCACUCGAUGGCUGGAGUGCUGCAGCUCGCCUGCCACGGAGCUCAGGUCUGUGGACAGGGACCCAGGAGUGACAGAUCCCAGGGAGGGAAACACCAGGAGGGGGAUGGCAGGAGUGAGAGGCUGCUUCAGCCCUAGCUUUGAGCCAAAUUGACCCUGCUGAGCUCAGUCCAGGAGGAGCUGUGCUCCAUAAUGAGUUUCCUGGCAGUUCCCACUAGUGAAGAGCCAGUCUGUGUCUCCCAGAGGGAAUUGUGAUGCUCCAUCAGCACCAGUUUGUUCCAGCCCAGGGAGAAGGCUUUUGUGGAUAACCAUGCUGUCCUGUGCUCUCUGCAGCAGAAUCAAUGCCUGCAAAACCCAAACUGUGCAGUUUCACAUGGAGCAGUUGCAGAUUUUUUCCUGAUUUCCAGUUCAUAAUAUGCCCAUUUCAAUGCACAGCUCUGCUUGUGUUACAGUCCCCUAAAAAGGAGCUAUAGAGAACAAGUCUUUACAACAUCAAGGAUGGAUAAUUUUAGUUUUACUGGGCCUAUAUGCAGUCUUGGGGGCUGAAUGGUUUGCCUUUGAAGUGUUAAGGCUUCUCUACUCAUGAAUAUCAUCAGGGGAAUGAAGGUAGCAUGGGAACUGCAAAAUCUAGGAGCUGAUUUCUGAAUAAUCUCAUUAAAAAACAAGCUCAGUAAAAUACUGGAGCAUUUACUAAAAAGAUUAUACUUAAUCUCAAUAGGAGGGAAAAAUAAAGAGACUGAACUUUUUUCCCUCCCCCUUCAACAUUUUCUCACAGAAAUCUGUUGAGGUUUAUGUCAAGCAUGUAGGAUUGUGCUCACAUUUUUGGAGCUUAUAAAGGCCUUCAUAGGAAUAAUACCCUCCUGGACAGAGCUCUAGAAAGGUAUUUCCCAUCCUGCUUUUUAAACAGAAUAUUUUUUUCAAGAUCCUAUCCUCCAGACUGAGGAUGAAUAUCUAAUCCAAGUCUCGAAUAUCUUUAUUAUUGAGCAUUGCUUCUUGUAGUCACUCCCCUCCCUUACUGAAGUAUCAACAGAAACUUAAAUCUUGCUAAAUGGUGAAAGUCCUCUUAGGCAGAGAAUGUGUUGUUCAUCCCCCAUUCUCCUUUAAUUCCUUGUUAACAACAAAUAAAUAAACAAAGAAACAAAUCCCUCCAAGAGAAAUGUUUGGAGCACAACCUCCAGCUGGAAAGGUCUGGUGCUGAGGAGGGUUUGUGGGACAUGUGAGAUGGCAGAAUCCCAGUGGGGCUUUUCUUCUCAUCUCUGAGAAGGAACAGGGAAGAGCAGAACAGGAGUUUCAUUUCCACUCCCCACUUCUGAUGACACGUUUGAUUAGACGUGCCAGCAAAUUGCUAGAGAAAACAUGUUUUGUCAUACAUUGUAAUGAUGGUUCCUCUGGUGAAUUUAUAAGCGUGAUAAGGAAAUUUUCAGAGCGGUCUCUGAGUCCCUAUUGCUUUGUUAACAUUUUUUAGCAUCCUAUUAAUCACUCUGUAUGUAUCUGUCAACAGCUGAUAUUAUGGAUUAAGGAAGAUUACAGCUCAUUGCUCCAGUGGCUGUUUUCUUUAGGAUUUAACUCCACAGGCACUUUGCCACUCACCUCCCUCUGACAAAACCAGCCCCUUGCUUUUGCCAACACUUUGCAGUGCUUCCCUGACUAAGAGUGGGUUUACUUAAAAAAGUAUCAAAAGUGCUCAUACAGGAGGGAAACGUUUUGAUUUUGUUAUUUCUGGAAGAAGAGCUAACACACUUUCAGUGCUGAAGAAAGAGUCCACAAGGUCCUGAUUUACAGAUGUUUCCAUGCAGAUUAAUGUUGACUUUGUUUUGUCAUGCUUGUGCAGAUCAUGUCACUUGUUAUUUGGGGAAAGGGGAUGUUAUUUGAGGAAAUUCAGAAAAAAGUUCUACAGGUUGAAUAAAUUUAACUCAUAGAGUUUCUCCAUUCUUUACUAUCAGCUAUAGGCUGUUCUCCAAUUCUACGUAUUUCUUAUCCACUCUGGGAUACAGAGAAAUCCUCGUGACUCCCGUGAUGCAGCAAAAAGCAGAAUUAACACUGGAGAAUACAACAGCUAACCCAUUAAUUACCUUCAGACUAAAAUUUAUUCACCCAAACUUACUCCCUUGUGCCAGGACUUGUUUUUAUACACAAAAACAAUAAUAUCAGAAAUACCAGUUUUGACCUAGACAUUUUUCCUGAACUUACUUAAUGUUUACAUCUUGUCUCCAAGGCCUUAUCAUUCCUCUCUCU